GGUAAGAUGGCCGAGAAAGGCAACGGAUUGUAGCUCCGUCCAUGGGCACAACACCCUCUUAUCA
Molecule: transfer RNA, 64 nt
Filed under: Goniurosaurus lichtenfelderi
Lineage: Eukaryota; Metazoa; Chordata; Lepidosauria; Squamata; Eublepharidae
Description: tRNA-Tyr
Source: RNAcentral